Molecule: ribosomal RNA, 525 nt
Filed under: Thermococcus sp. AV3
Lineage: Archaea; Methanobacteriati; Methanobacteriota; Thermococci; Thermococcales; Thermococcaceae
Description: bacterial SSU rRNA
Rfam family: Archaeal small subunit ribosomal RNA
Source: RNAcentral
CGGCGGACGGCUCAGUAACACGUCGGUAACCUACCCUCGGGAGGGGGAUAACCCCGGGAAACUGGGGCUAAUCCCCCAUAGGCCUGAGGUACUGGAAGGUCCUCAGGCCGAAAGGGGCUUCGGCCCGCCCGAGGAUGGGCCGGCGGCCGAUUAGGUAGUUGGUGGGGUAACGGCCCACCAAGCCGAAGAUCGGUACGGGCCAUGAGAGUGGGAGCCCGGAGAUGGACACUGAGACACGGGUCCAGGCCCUACGGGGCGCAGCAGGCGCGAAACCUCCGCAAUGCGGGAAACCGCGACGGGGGGACCCCCAGUGCCGUGGCAUCGCCACGGCUUUUCCGGAGUGUAAAGAGCUCCGGGAAUAAGGGCUGGGCAAGGCCGGUGGCAGCCGCCGCGGUAAUACCGGCGGCCCGAGUGGUGGCCGCUAUUAUUGGGCCUAAAGCGUCCGUAGCCGGGCCCGUAAGUCCCUGGCGAAAUCCCACGGCUCAACCGUGGGGCUUGCUGGGGAUACUGCGGGCCUUGGGACCG